AGGAUGAAAUUUGAAAAAAAUAGGCAGGACAGGAGUUUUGAGUAAAAAAAAAAAGGCAGGAUGAGACACUUUGCAAAAAAAAAAAGGCAGGAUGACAAUUUAGGUAAAAAAAGGCAGGACCGAAUAGAGUGAAAAAUAAAAAGGCAGGACAGAGAUUACAACUAAAAAAAAAAUGCAGGACAAAUUUUUUCAUCCUAGCCCCCCC
Molecule: long non-coding RNA, 205 nt
Filed under: Mytilus galloprovincialis (Mediterranean mussel)
Lineage: Eukaryota; Metazoa; Mollusca; Bivalvia; Mytilida; Mytilidae
Source: RNAcentral